Molecule: long non-coding RNA, 267 nt
Organism: Etheostoma spectabile (orangethroat darter)
Lineage: Eukaryota; Metazoa; Chordata; Actinopteri; Perciformes; Percidae
Exons: 2
Source: RefSeq, a predicted model, not a curated record
UUAAGUGGUACCACAACAGAAGCGUAUACUCUGAAGGGCAUGAGCUGCGAGUGUCAUUGUCAACUGAAAGCUUCUCCUGUGAAGUGAAAGGCCUGCGGUCACCUGAAGUCUGUAUUGAGGAUAAGAACUGCUGGAGCGUGAAUUAUGUCCGGAGAACAAUCUGUGCUCUGGAGGGCUCUUCAGUGAACAUUUCAAGUGAAUAUUCUUUCCCUAACAACAGCCAUCCCACGUCAAAAAUAUGGUUCAAAAAUGGCAGGGGGAAUAAAG